GAGACGUCAAUCAUCAUGCCCCUUAUGUCCUGGGCUACACACGUAAUACAAUGGCGGUCAACAGAGGGAUGCAAAACCGUGAGGUGGAGCGAUCCCUAAAAGCCGUCUCAGUUCAGAUUGUGGGCUGCAACCCGCCCACAUGAAGUCGGAAUCGCUAGUAAUCGCGGAUCAACAUGCCGCGGUGAAUACGUUCCCGGGCCUUGUACACACCGCCCGUCACACCAUGAGAGUCGGGAACACCCGAAGUCCGUAGCCUAACCCUUAGGAGGGCGCGGCCGAAGGUGGGUUCGAUAAUUGGGGUGAAGUCGUAACA
This 313-nucleotide ribosomal RNA is filed under the name uncultured bacterium. Its description in RNAcentral is "bacterial SSU rRNA". It matches the Rfam family "Bacterial small subunit ribosomal RNA", at positions 1179 to 1493 of the family's 1533-position model. The record is from RNAcentral.